CCCGCUGAACUUAAGCAUAUCAAUAAGCGGAGGAAAAGAAACUAACAAGGAUUCCCCUAGUAACUGCGAGUGAAGCGGGAAAAGCUCAAAUUUAAAAUCUGGUGGUCUUUGGCUGCCCGAGUUGUAAUCUAGAGAAGUGUUAUCCGCGCUGGACCGUGUACAAGUCUCCUGGAAUGGAGCGUUAUAGAGGGUGAGAAUCCCGUCUCUGACACGGACAACCGAUGCUUUUGUGAUACGCUCUCGAAGAGUCGAGUUGUUUGGGAAUGCAGCUCAAAAUGGGUGGUAAAUUCCAUCUAAAGCUAAAUAUUGGCGAGAGACCGAUAGCGAACAAGUACCGUGAGGGAAAGAUGAAAAGCACUUUGGAAAGAGAGUUAAACAGUACGUGAAAUUGUUGAAAGGGAAACGUUUGAAGUCAGUCGCGUCGGCCGAGACUCAGCCUCGCUUUUUCAGCUUGGUGCACUUCUCGGUUGACGGGUCAGCAUCAAUUUUGAUCGCCGGAAAAGGGCUGGGGGAAUGUGGCAUCUCUCGAGAUGUGUUAUAGCCCUCGGUUCGCAUACGGCGGUUGGGAUUGAGGAACUCAGCGCGCCUUUAUGGUCGAGGCUUUUGCCUACGCAACGCGCUUAGGAUGCUGGCAUAAUGGCUUUAAGCGACCCGUCUUGAAACACGG
This 667-nucleotide ribosomal RNA is filed under the name uncultured fungus. RNAcentral describes it as "eukaryotic LSU rRNA". It matches the Rfam family "Eukaryotic large subunit ribosomal RNA", at positions 24 to 664 of the family's 3401-position model. Lineage: Eukaryota; Fungi. The record is from RNAcentral.